RNAcentral lists this ribosomal RNA (534 nucleotides) under Mexigonus cf. minutus Ecuador. RNAcentral describes it as "partial 16S ribosomal RNA". The stretch from base 144 to 440 matches the Rfam family "Bacterial large subunit ribosomal RNA", at positions 2073 to 2647 of the family's 2925-position model. Lineage: Eukaryota; Metazoa; Arthropoda; Arachnida; Araneae; Salticidae. The record is from RNAcentral.
ACAUUUAAUAGCCGCAAUUCGUGCUAAGGUAGCAUAAUCAUUUGUCUUUUAAAUAAAGACUAGAACAAAAGAUUUAACAUUUUCAUUUAUUUAUUUUUCAAAAUGUUUUAAAUUUUCCUAUAAGUAAAAAGACUUAUAUUUAUUAGAAAGACGACAAGACCCUAUUGAACUUUACUUUAGUUAAACUGGGGCAGUAAAUUAAUUAUAAUUUUAAUUUUUUUUAAUUUAAAAAUCUCCAUUAAAAAUGAUUUAUUCAGUUACCAUAGGGAUAACAGUAUAAUUAUUUUUUAAAGAUCUUAUAUAAAAAAUAGAUUAUAACCUCGAUGUUGAAUUAAUAUCCUAAUUAAAGCAAAUUUUAAAUAAGGAAGUCUGUUCGACUUUUAAAUAAUUACAUGAUUUGAGUUCAGACCGGUAUAAGCCAGGUCGGUUUCUAUCUUCUAAAAAGUUUUUUGUAGUACGAAAGGACCUAAAAAUAUAAUUUAAUUUAUUAAUUGGCAGAAAAAUGCAUUAGAAUUAGAAUCUAAUAAAACUAAA